Molecule: ribosomal RNA, 534 nt
Filed under: Wickerhamomyces sp.
Lineage: Eukaryota; Fungi; Ascomycota; Saccharomycetes; Phaffomycetales; Wickerhamomycetaceae
Description: LSU rRNA
Rfam family: Eukaryotic large subunit ribosomal RNA
Source: RNAcentral
GGAUUGCCUCAGUAACGGCGAGUGAAGCGGCAAAAGCUCAAAUUUGAAAUCUAGUGCCUCUGGUACUCGAGUUGUAAUUUGAAGACGGCAACUUUGGGGGUGGCCUUCAUCUAUGUUCCUUGGAACAGGACGUCACAGAGGGUGAGAAUCCCGUGUGGUGGGGCGAUCCACUCCUAUGUAAAGUGCAGUCGACGAGUCGAGUUGUUUGGGAAUGCAGCUCUAAGUGGGUGGUAAAUUCCAUCUAAAGCUAAAUAUUGGCGAGAGACCGAUAGCGAACAAGUACAGUGAUGGAAAGAUGAAAAGAACUUUGAAAAGAGAGUGAAAAAGUACGUGAAAUUGUUGAAAGGGAAGGGUAUUAGAUCAGACUUGGCUGUGUGUGAUUAGCCUCUCCUUGUGGGGGGUGCACUCGCGCAGGGCUGGGCCAGCAUCGAUUGGUGUGGCAGGAUAAUGGCGCUUGAACGUGGCUCUUCGGAGUGUUUAUAGCUUGUGCUGAUACUGCCUAUGUCGAUCGAGGAAUGCGCUCGCUUGCGAGCU